UUACAUUUUCUUUUAUAGAGUCUCAAUUAGAUAAUAAUGCUAUAGGCAUUAUUAUUGUAGUCAAUAAUAUAAAAUAUA
Molecule: transfer RNA, 78 nt
Filed under: Fusarium acuminatum CS5907
Lineage: Eukaryota; Fungi; Ascomycota; Sordariomycetes; Hypocreales; Nectriaceae
Description: tRNA-Ile
Source: RNAcentral